GAAUUGCAGAAUUCCGCGAAUCAUCGAGUUUUUGAACGCAAGUUGCGCCCGAGGCUCGUCCGAGGGCAUGCCUGCCUGAGCGUCCA
This 86-nucleotide ribosomal RNA is filed under the name Drepanolejeunea erecta. RNAcentral describes it as "partial 5.8S ribosomal RNA". It matches the Rfam family "5.8S ribosomal RNA", at positions 69 to 154 of the family's 154-position model. Rfam says of the family: 5.8S ribosomal RNA (5.8S rRNA) is a component of the large subunit of the eukaryotic ribosome. Lineage: Eukaryota; Viridiplantae; Streptophyta; Jungermanniopsida; Porellales; Lejeuneaceae. The record is from RNAcentral.